AUGCAUGGGUCCGUCCGGCCAAAUGGCCCGCAUGCGCAACAGGCGGCCGCUGCGGUAGCGAGUCAUGAGCACGGGCGUACUCCAUCCUACUCGAUUGAUCCUACAUUGUACAUGGACACGGGAGUUACGAACCACCUCACCAACGACAUGGGCAAGCUUUCCACUCAGGAGCCAUAUCGCGGCCAUGAUCAGGUGCACACCGCCAACGGAGCAGGUAUGCGCAUCUCCCAUGUUGGUCAGGCAUCUCUUCUUGCACACAAUUCGCGAAAACUGUAUCUUUCUAAUAUUCUUCGUAUUCUCACUGCUUCGCGCAGUUUGUUGUCUGUUCCACAACUUACUCGUGAUAAUAAUGUCCUUGUUGAAUUUCAUCCUUUUGGUUUCUUUAUCAAGGAUCGGGACACGAGGGCCGUUCUGCUUAGCGGUCGUCUUCGCCGUGGCUUGUAUGCACUUGACGCGGCGACCGCACCUUCCAUGCAGUUUUCUCCUCAGGCGUUCAGUGGUGUUCGUGUCUCACCUACACAUUGGCACGCGCGACUUGGUCAUCCUGCUGCCCCCAUAGUCCGUCAUGUGUUGCAUCGUCAUGAACUACCGGUUGUGUCAAAUAAAACUGCUGAAACUAUUUGUGAUGCCUGUCAGCAGGGCAAGAGUCACCAACUCCCGUUUUCAGAGUCUAGUCGUGUUGUGAAACAUCCUCUUGAACUUGUGUUUUCCGAUGUAUGGGGUCAUGCCCAAACGUCUGUCAGUGGCCACAAUUAUUAUGUCAGUUUUAUUGAUGCUUAUAGUCGGUUUACUUGGCUUUAUCUUGUUAAGAAAAAAAUCUGA
This 822-nucleotide ribosomal RNA is filed under the name Triticum aestivum (bread wheat). RNAcentral's name for it is "partial small subunit ribosomal RNA". The record is from RNAcentral. Lineage: Eukaryota; Viridiplantae; Streptophyta; Magnoliopsida; Poales; Poaceae.